Molecule: ribosomal RNA, 439 nt
Filed under: uncultured bacterium
Lineage: Bacteria
Description: partial 16S ribosomal RNA
Rfam family: Bacterial small subunit ribosomal RNA
Source: RNAcentral
CUACGGGCCGCAGCAGUGGGGAAUAUUGGACAAUGGGCGCAAGCCUGAUCCAGCAAUGCCGCGUGAGUGAAGACGGCCUUAGGGUUGUAAAACUCUUUCGCUAGGGAAGAUAAUGACUGUACCUAGUAAAGAAGUCCCGGCUAACUCCGUGCCAGCAGCCGCGGUAAUACGGAGGGGACUAGCGUUGUUCGGAAUUACUGGGCGUAAAGAGUUCGUAGGCGGACUGACAAGUUAGAGGUGAAAUCCCAGGGCUCAACCCUGGAACUGCCUUUAAAACUGUCAGUCUAGAGACCGGAAGAGGUUAGGGGAAUACCUAGUGUAGAGGUGAAAUUCGUAGAUAUUAGGUGGAACACCAAUGGCGAAGGCGCCUAACUGGUCCGGUACUGACGCUGAGGAACGAAAGCGUGGGGAGCAAACAGGAUUAGAUACCCUCGUAGUC